Molecule: long non-coding RNA, 4601 nt
Filed under: Salmo salar (Atlantic salmon)
Lineage: Eukaryota; Metazoa; Chordata; Actinopteri; Salmoniformes; Salmonidae
Description: lncRNA (ENSSSAG00000113827.1)
Source: RNAcentral
CACCAGGCUAGCGCCAGGCUCGCCCGCUCUUGGCUUGGCACACAGGAAUAAUAAAAAAUCCGGUGAGACACCGCGAGGUCCAUUGAAUGUGGCCACCUGUGUCUUAUUGAACCUUGUCAUGAAGAGGAGGAGAGGAGAGAGUCCUCGGAGUGAGUGAGCGGAGGAGCCUCCGGUCGGUCGGGUGUUGCUGUGCUGUUCUAACGAGGGAGAGAGAAAAAGCCAGCGAUGAAAGGAACCGGGUGGCUGCGUUAGGAAAAGUACCCCUCACAUACUCAUUCCGCAGAAAAGACGGGAACCCUGCAGCAGCAGCCAUAUACUGUAUGUGGAUCCCGCAGGAGAAAAAGAGAGGAAGAGAGAACCUGCUUAGAAUUUCACCUCCGGAUUCGGAAUGUUUCGGAAUGUUUCGGAAUCGCCUCUACUGUGGAAUAUCUGCCUCGACCGAUGGCACAGGACUUUUGGCCAAGCAGAGAACCCCAUGGUCAGACAGAUGGCCCUAGCAGGCACUCCGCAGCAGGCACUAGCCUCGUCAGAUGGCCAGGGGCUGGGGCACCGUCAAACUGAAGGAGGCAGCCGGCAGGCAGAGGGAUGGACGUUUCAGAUCUGUUGCCUUGUCUUAAUGGACAAGAGGCCCUCUGGGUCACCAGGAAGAUGCAUGGGUAAUAGGGUUUGGGUGUUAGCAUGGUGGCUUAUGGGCAGUAGUGGGACUGUGACCUUUACUGAGUGCAUGUCUAUGUGCAUGCUUGUGUGCGUGCUUGUGAUGAGAAGCAGCUGGAGGGUAAAGCUCCCUCCUUUGGGUGAUCCCAGCUGCAUGCCCUGUCACUGCAAUGACUGAGGCCAUUGUUCUUCUACAAAGAUGAGGCUAGGGCAAGAUCAGCUAACUGGUUCGAGAUCAGCUAACUGGUUCGAGAUCAGCUAACUGGGGCUAGAUCAGCUAACUGGGGCUAAAUCAGCUAACUGGGGCUAGAUCAGCUAACUGGGGCUAAAUCAGCUAACUGUGGGUAGAUCAGCUAACUGGGGCUAAAUCAGCUAACUGGGGGUAGAUCAGCUAACUGGGGCUAGAUCAGCUAACUGGUUCGAGAUCAGCUAACUGGGGCUAGAUCACCUAACUGGGGCUAAAUCAGCUAACUGGGGCUAGAUCAGCUAACUGGGGCUAAAUCAGCUAACUGGGGGUAGAUCAGCUAACUGGGGCUAGAUCAGCUAACUGGUGCGAGAUCAGCUAACUGGGGAUAGAUCAGCUAACUGGGGCUAAAUCAGCUAACUUUGGUUAAUCCUACUUCCAUACAGGCCAUAUUAACUCUGGCUCUGGGUGUGAGGGUUAAGGAUUUGCUAUGCACUGGAUCGCACUUAUGUGAUUUUUUUAUCAUACUGUCAACAUACGUACAGCGUACAGCGGAAUAUCACUCCACAGACAGACACACAUUUACAGCACAACCAGGACGUCUCACAAGGCCCAUAUCAGCACCAGAGGUUAUAGGGAGGUCAGCCUGUCUGACUUUGACCAGAAUCCCCAUCCCCCACCCACCCAUCCAGCCAUGUGUAACUGGACCUGGCCUGGCAACCCCCUCCCUGUUCUCUGCUCUCCUCUCUCUGGGCUGGUAUAAAUAGAUGUCCAUGCCUGCUCCCUCCCUUAACCCAGGGGGCCAAGAAGCCAUUCUUCCCUUUUUAAACACUCUGACGUGUCUGUCUGGAUGCCUCCUGUCUGCACCUGGUUACCUCUCUGGACUACACACACACACACACCAAUAGACACACACACCCACACACGCACAUCACACACACAAGCACACAAGCAUACACACACAAACACGUACAGACACACACACACACAUCAGUCUACAGAAGCUCUGUGGCAGGGGGAGUGCAGACAGGGGUGUACGUUUGAGGAGAAGGGCUUUGGUUUUGACUGUAGAGACAUGUAAAUGUCCCACUGGUGACCUGGUCUACACACUGAGCUCUGUGUCCAGGCACUUCAUGCCCUCCAGCUCAGGUUUCCACACUAAACCGGUCAGUGAAAUUCAGCUUUAUUGUGCUAAUAUUGAUUGAUAUACUGCAUGAAGACUUUCAUUCCAAAACGCUAUAUAUCCAUUUUCAGAAAUGUUGAAAAAUCAGCUUUUAUUGUUUAAAGAAAUUGGUGUGUUUUUUCACUGUCUAAUCAUGGCAUAGGGUUGUUCAAUGACAGAUAUGUAUUUGUUUAAAAUCUAUCACUUGAUGUAUUCAUUUCAGAGAAACAAAUAAUCUAUAUUUUUGGCAAAACGCUUUAUAUCCGCCUCACUCUCAGAGAAAUAAGUAGUACUGCUGGGUUUUACACAGUAAAAUGUAACAAAUGAAAAGUAAUUAAAAACACUAAUAUGAGAUCUGGAUGUAAAACAUUUACAUUUCACAUUUUAGUCAAAUGUAAAUCCAGAGCAAUUAACAGUAAGUGCAUUCAUCUAGAUAGCUAGGUGAGACAACCACGUAUCACAGUCAAAUAUACAGGAUACCAACAUUCCAUUCCAGCUAUUCCAGCACAAUGGAUAUAUAGCGUUUUGCAAAAAUAAAUAAUAACAAUCAUGAAUUAAAAAUCGGAGAACAGUAAUAUUUUACACACACACGAAGAAACCCAUAAGUAAUCAUUUCUGAUGAAAAACACAAAUGUGAGAAAUUUGUGGAUUUAGCAUUUUGGAAAUAAACUUCAUAUUGACUGUAGCGUUAAUGCUCAUUCACCUUGUCUUGGCGUACUGAUAGCAUCAUGGUGGACAGAUAAUGGAGGAGGCAGGUCUGUGAGCCUCUGCCUGUAGACAGACAGAUAAUGGAGGAGGCAGGUCUGUGAGCCUCUGCCUGUAGACAGACAGCUAAUGGAGGAGGCAGGUCUGUGAGCCUCUGCCUGUAGACAGACAGCUAAUGGAGGAGGCAGGUCUGUGAGCCUCUGCCUGUAGACAGACAGCUAAUGGAGGAGGCAGGUCUGUGAGCCUCUGCCUGUAGACAGACAGAUAAUGGAGGAGGCAGCAGGAGACAGAGGAGGGAUAUCAGUUACAGAUGCUCCAGUUAGGAGUGAACCAGUGUUUGCUGAGGUUGCAUACUUUUAAAAAGACACACUCUGGUCCUCCCGAGUGACACAGCAGUCUAAGGCACUGCAUCGCAGACACAGGUUCAUUCCCGGGCUGUGCUACAACCGGCCGUGGCCGGGAGUCCCAUAGGACGGCAUAAAAUUGGCCCAGCAUCGUCCGGGUUAGGGGAGGGUUUGGCCGGUGGGGCUUUACUUGGCUCAUCGCACUCUAGUGCCUCCUUGUGGUGGGCCGGGUGCCUGCAGGCUGACCCCGGUCGCCAGUUGAACGGUGUUCCCUCCGACACAUUGGUGCAGCUGGCUUCCCGGGAUUAGCUAGCAGGUGUUAAGGAGCACGGUUAGGGGGGUCAUGUUUCGGGCGGACGCAUGACUCCACCUUCGCCUCUCCCGAGGCCGUUGGGGAGUUGCAGCGAAGAGACAAGAUUUAAAAUUGGGGAGAAAAAGGAGGGUAAAACAAAGAAAGAAAAAGACACUCUCUCUCUUCAGGUGACCCCGCUCCUGCUAAUCAGGGUGCUUUACAUUCUAUUGCAUGACCAUGUCUGGUGCUUUUGAGUAUGUGUGUGUGUGUGUGUAUGUGUGUGUGUGUGUGUGUGUGUGUGUGUGUGUGUGUGUGUGUGUGUGUGUGUGUGUGUGUGUGUGUGUGUGUGUGUGUGUGUGUGUGUGUGUGUGCGUUUGCACUUGAGUGUGUGUGCUUGUGUGUGUGUGCGUGCGUGCGUACCUGCAUGACCAUGUCUGGUGCUUUUGAGUGUGUGUGUGUGGGUGUGGGUGUGUGUAUGUGUGGGUGUGUUUGUGUGUGUGUGUGUGUGUGUGCGUCUCACUGGAUGUUGUCAGCUGGCCCAAGUUCAAAGCAAUUCCUUUACCAACACAACAUGGAUCAUAACUCAACAGCCAUCUGCCAUAUUAGAAGAUAGUGUCAAGUCAGAAAGCUAAGGUCAAGUGUAUUCACCUAGUGAACCCAGAACUCUCCUUUACAGUAAAGUGAAUGUGUGUGUGUUUCUGUGUGUGUGUGUGUGUGUGUGUGUGUGUGUGUGUCUAUGUGUGUGUGUGUAUGUGUACCUGCAUAAGUUCGUGAGUGUAUGCGUGUGCGUUUGUGCGUGCGUGCGUAUGUACCUAGAAGCCAAGCCUCCAGUGAUCCACAUCCCAGAACAGUAAGCAAGGCUAUGUUUAAUAAUGCAGGCGGCAAAAUACUCCUCACUACUGAGCAGACACAAUGAUCCUCUCAAGACAUACUGUGCUGUACUACUGUAGUACUGUACUGCUGUACUACUGUACUAUACUACUGUGCUUUGUACUGUACUGCUGUACUACUAUAUUGUACUACUGUACUACUGUACUAAUGUACUGUAGUGCUGUACUACUGUACUACUGUACUACUGUACUAUUAUACUGUACUGCUGUACUACUGUACUGUACCACUGUCCUACUGUACUCAUGUACUGUACUAUUGUACUGUACUGUACUGUACGACUGUACUGUACUGCUGUACUACUAUACUACUGCACUACUGUACUGUACUGCUGUACUACUGUACUGAACUGCUGUACUACUAUACUGCUGU